GUUUCUAGCAGCUGAAGAUACGACUAGUUUGACAAAUAGUACUUAAUGUAGAUUUAUUAGAGAUUGAUGUGUGAUGGAAAAUGACAACACAUCAUACAGGAUUGAGACUCUUGAUGAAAAUAUUGAAAAGAUGGAAGAACGGUUGUCAUUUAUCACAAGCAACUUGGAAAGAAGUGAUCGGUUGACGAGGAGCAUGGUGUCCACUCUAACGUCGUUAGAUAAUCAUUUCGAGCACCUGGAGAACGUUGUCAGUCCAAUGCAUAACUAUACGACGUGCCAAAUGCAGCUGAAAGACACAGUGAACCAGACCUUGUUUCACAUGGACAAAGCCAUCAGCCAUCACCAGGUCCUCAGGAAAACAGACAAGAUCCUCCUGAUGGGACCUGCAGGUAGAGUGCAUGAUUAUCUGGACUGUCUUCAGCAGAUCAAGGAAGCAAUCAAAUUAUUUGAAGGACACACAGAAGAGCUGCACCUUACUACACUGAAAGAAAGGUUAGAAAAGGCUAGGCCACUGAUGGAGUCAGAGUUCUGUGUUCUGGUUGAUCGCCACUGCACGACUGCGAAGACCCUCGAUUUCCUGAAUUUGCUGGGCGUAGAGCGUGCAGGAGGGGAAACAGGGGAUGUCAUACCCAAGACUGGACUGGAGAACCUCAAGUCCAUCUACACAUGGUUGGCUGAAUACACAGCUCAGAACAGUGGGCAUGUUGCCACUAAACUCCAAACACUGUCAUUGGACAGAAACAUAAAACAUGAACUUAUUGGACCAGCGGCAUCAGGUUCUCGUUCUAAGAUGUCCCUGAAGACCUUUUGCAAUUUAAAAAGUCUCUUCCGAGCUAAACACCCAACACUCCCCAGUGUUCCAUCCAUGGAUGUGGUUGGAGCACCGAAAUACAGAAGUUCCUCCGAAAGUCUAUCAGAAGGCAAGCCUCCAAACCCAGACUCCGAUGUGCCCCCACCACUGACACUGAGCAUCUCAUCCCCUACCCCUUCUCAUGUCACUUUCAAAACACCGUCAAAAAACACGAGCCCAUCCAAAAUAAAAGGAGGAACACUAGCAGGCUCCAGAGCGUAUGAGGCGAGCUGCCCCAUGAACAGGCUGAAGACCAUGUCGCUGGGAAGAAACCCACUUAUCAAAGCCACAAGGUCCCAAGAACCCUUCAACCUUAUGAGCUAUUAUGCUGCAAAGCGGUCAAUAUGUCUCGACUAUUUGCUGAACGUUUGGAAAGACCGCUACCGCAAGUGCAGUGUGUCCUCGUUGAACCACCACUCCCUAGAGAAGCAGAACAAACACAUUAUAGAGUCACCCUUUAAGAAGACCAAGAAAACAGACAGGGAAAGCGUGCUUAACAUGGAGAUUGAUGUCCACCUGGAAUGUGUCAGAGUCUUCGUGAUCCUUGUUAAACGAGAACACACCAUGCUGACGCAAGUGUUUUCUGAAGUCUGUCCCCGGACCUUUAGUGCCCUCAUCCAGAACGCUCUCGACAACCUGCUUCAUGAUGGAGAGAACAUCAUCUUUGCCACCAAACGGGCCUUUUUUCGUAGCGAAUACUCGGUCAUCCUCGCCAUUUUAGCUACAGUAGACUAUCUCAUACAGCAGAGGAAUGGACCCAGUGUACUGGAGGAUGCAUCAGACUCAAUAACGGCCAAGGUGAACACAUUCAUCUCGUCCAUGAAGGAGCUGGUUACCAAAGGUUUGGAUGGAUUUGCAGACAGCGUCAAGAGCCACCUGGAUUGUAAGAACCUACCCAUGGAUGGAACAGUGCACAAGCUCAAUCACAAUACCAUCUUGUUCCUGCAACAGCUGAUCGUAAACGCAGGCAAUAAAGUAAAUGCAGCUCUCGUGCUGCCUAACCAUGACAAAGGACUUGGCACAGCCAUUAAGGUGACCAGUAGUGCUCAUAAGCUUGAGAAGUCAUCGGCGUGUUUGGAACAAAUAUCUGCCGAAGAAAAAGAGCACUUGUGUCGGUUUUCAUCAUACAUCUGUAGAGUGCUGGAAAACCUCCGGCAGAGUCUGAGGAAUAAGGCCAAGGCGUACGACGACCCUGCCCUGAGUGCCAUCUUCCUCCUCAACAACUUCCACUACAUCCUGAACUCACUGAAGAGGUCAAAGCUGAUUGUUGUAAUGAAGGCCUGUGGCAGUGAUCCAGAGGCCGAGUACAGGGAAUUGAUUGACGAACAGAAACUACUGUACCAGCUCAGCUGGCUGAUGGUGACAGAGAGCCUGGCUGACACGAGUCAGCCCGUGCUGAAGCAAGGAGGCAAGUUGAGUGAAAAGGACUUUUGCGUGGUCAAGGAACAGUUAAAGAGUUUCAACGAGAAGCUAGAGGAUCAGUGCAAGGCCCAGAAGGGCUGGUUGGUGCCCGAUAAGGAGCUCCGGACAGCACUAUGCCAGAUGCAAGGAGAGCUGGUAUCCACCAGCUACAGGUCCUUUCUGCACAAGUAUGAAGAUGCAGAUUUCACCAAACAGCCUGAAAGGUGCCUCAAAUACAGCCCACAGCAGGUGGAGCAGAUGAUCCAGACGCUGUUUGACAUGUCAGCCUGAGCCAUCCUUUCCAGGAAGUUGAACACUUUCUGGAGGUUAAGAUUCUUCUCCUCUGCGGCAUCCGUCAGGCUAAUGACACUGAUAUCAGAUUCGGAUUCUGGACAAAGAGAGUGAUAAGAGAUCAGAGCUUCACAUCAUAUGCAGGUGACUCACGGAUCAAGGGGCUGCAAUUGUUGUCUGCAGGAAGCAAGUCAUUGAGGAUGAGGAGGAACAUGAUGAAGCUGAGCACCAGGGUCACCUUGAAACAGACGCGCUCUCCGCCUAUUGGUAACGCGAAGCUCACCACAUCGGCGAUGAUGAUUAA
RNA transcript from Osmerus eperlanus (European smelt), 2846 nucleotides. It is a transcript of the gene named exocyst complex component 7-like, with no coding region annotated. Lineage: Eukaryota; Metazoa; Chordata; Actinopteri; Osmeriformes; Osmeridae. The record is from RefSeq and is a predicted model, not a curated record. The transcript is spliced from 21 exons.